RNAcentral lists this ribosomal RNA (292 nucleotides) under uncultured bacterium. RNAcentral's name for it is "partial 16S ribosomal RNA". It matches the Rfam family "Bacterial small subunit ribosomal RNA", at positions 505 to 796 of the family's 1533-position model. The record is from RNAcentral.
GUGUCAGCAGCCGCGGUAAGACGAGCCACACGAACGUUAUUCGGAAUUACUGGGCUUAAAGGGUGCGUAGGCUGCGCGGAAAGUUGGGUGUGAAAUCCCUCGGCUCAACCGAGGAACUGCGCCCAAAACUGCCGUGCUCGAGGAAGAUAGAGGUAAGCGGAACUUACGGUGGAGCGGUGAAAUGCGUUGAUAUCGUAAGGAACACCUGUGGCGAAAGCGGCUUACUGGGUCUUUUCUGACGCUGAUGCACGAAAGCUAGGGGAGCAAACGGGAUUAGAUACCCUCGUAGUCC